AGUGAACGCUGGCGGUAGGCCUAACACAUGCAAGUCGAACGGCAGCACAGGAGAGCUUGCUCUCUGGGUGGCGAGUGGCGGACGGGUGAGGAAUACAUCGGAAUCUACUCUGUCGUGGGGGAUAACGUAGGGAAACUUACGCUAAUACCGCAUACGACCUACGGGUGGAAGCAGGGGAUCUUCGGACCUUGCGCGAUUGAAUGAGCCGAUGUCGGAUUAGCUAGUUGGCGGGGUAAAGGCCCACCAAGGCGACGAUCCGUAGCUGGUCUGAGAGGAUGAUCAGCCACACUGGGACUGAGACACGGUCCAGGCUCCUACGGGAGGCAGCAGUGGGGAAUAUUGGACAAUGGGCGCAAGCCUGAUCCAGCCAUACCGCGUGGGUGAAGAAGGCCUUCGGGUUGUAAAGCCCUUUUGUUGGGAAAGAAAUCCAGCUGGCUAAUACCCGGUUGGGAUGACGGUACCCAAAGAAUAAGCACCGGCUAACUUCGUGCCAGCCGCCGCCGCAG
RNAcentral lists this ribosomal RNA (506 nucleotides) under uncultured bacterium. RNAcentral describes it as "partial 16S ribosomal RNA". It matches the Rfam family "Bacterial small subunit ribosomal RNA", at positions 29 to 523 of the family's 1533-position model. The record is from RNAcentral.